Molecule: ribosomal RNA, 239 nt
Filed under: uncultured bacterium
Lineage: Bacteria
Description: partial 16S ribosomal RNA
Rfam family: Bacterial small subunit ribosomal RNA
Source: RNAcentral
CGGGCGGACGGGUGAGUAACGCGUGGGUAACCGGCCUCAUACAGGGGGGUAACAGUUAGAAAUGGCUGCUAAUACCGCAUAAGACCACAGUACUGCAUGGUACGGUGGUAAAAACUCCGGUGGUAUGAGAUGGACCCGCGUCUGAUUAGGUAGUUGGUGAGGUAACGGCCCACCAAGCCGACGAUCAGUAGCCGACCUGAGAGGGUGACCGGCCACAUUGGGACUGAGACACGGCCCAG